UACGGGGGGAGCAAGCGUUGUUCGGAUUUACUGGGCGUAAAGGGCGCGUAGGCGGCCACCGCAAGUCGACUGUGAAAUCUCCGGGCUUAACCCGGAAAGGUCAGCCGAUACUGCGGGGCUAGAGUGCAGAAGGGGCAACUGGAAUUCCUGGUGUAGCGGUGAAAUGCGCAGAUAUCAGGAGGAACACCGAUGGCGAAGGCAGGUCUCUGGGCCACUACUGACGCUGAGGAGCGAAAGCCAGGGGAGCGAACGGG
RNAcentral lists this ribosomal RNA (254 nucleotides) under uncultured bacterium. RNAcentral describes it as "partial 16S ribosomal RNA". It matches the Rfam family "Bacterial small subunit ribosomal RNA", at positions 524 to 776 of the family's 1533-position model. The record is from RNAcentral.